This 1411-nucleotide long non-coding RNA is filed under the name Malus domestica (apple). RNAcentral describes it as "long non-coding RNA (MDOM_LNC013987)". The record is from RNAcentral. Lineage: Eukaryota; Viridiplantae; Streptophyta; Magnoliopsida; Rosales; Rosaceae.
UAUUAUCCCCCACUUGGCCACCUGCUCAAUAUGUCGGGUGUGGGGUUUUAUCACAAAAAGGCCUCGGUGUUAGUUAAAGUGGGGUAAUUCUAUAUAAAUUGCUUGUUCUCAUUCCCUUUGUCCAAUGUGGGACAAUUGGGAUUCCAACACUCCUCCGCACGUGAGACCCCAUUUUAUGGGUCAAGUUGGGGCUCACCCGUUCUCACAGGGUCAAAGGGGACCCACAUCAGAUAGAGGGAAUGAGAACAAGCAAUUUAUAUAUUAUGUGAUAUAAAAUAGCACACAAACUUAAACCCUCUUUUUGAUAGUUGUAGUAUAUGUAAGUAGGGAUCGUUCUAGGCUGAGGAUUAGGAGGGCUGCUAAUCUACACAAAUUAAACUCUAAAUCACUAAACUAGACUCAAAAACAGAAAACAAACUUAAACUACUCAAAAUAAGCAAAACUGAUUCAAAACACACAAACUAAGUUAAAUUGACUCAAACAGGAACUAAAGGGAAGUUUGGAUGAAAAUUAAACUAAAAAGACUCAGAAUACUAAAUGGGGGGUUGUUUUGACGAAUUUAAGAUUUAAACAAACAAACUUGAAGAAACAAACUAAAGGGUACGAAAUUGAGUGAAUUAAGGGGGUGAAAGGCUAGGUAGAGGGUCCUUCUCCACACAUGCAUACAAAUCGAUUUCCAAUUAUUCUUCCUAUAAAUCAUGAAUGACAAUGCCCCAAGUUAACCGUGAACUGCACAAAUUAACCAUCAGAUUUUCCUAAAUUCAUUGAAUUGGACUUAGCGACGCAACCAAAUUAUUCUUAUCAAGUUCCCUACAUGAACUGCAUAAUAGAGAUACAUAUCAAAGAUCAUUAAGUUCUAUGAAAAUCAUAAGCAUUGACAAAGCAUUCGUAACUAUGAACUGCAUGAUACUCCUGCCAGGAAUUUACUUAACACAAUCAUGACUAGUGACUUUUACUACUUGUAAAUAUAAGAUCAUAACGAUUAGGUGAAAUUCCCUUAUAUUCUAGCAUCAAAUCCCUACAUGCAAACUAAGUAGGCCUCCUUGAUCAACAUACAAGAAUAAGUUAUCAAUCAAACAGAUAAGUAAAUUGCAUUCACGAUUUAUGAAACAAUAACUGGAUGUAAUCAAUUCAUAUCAUACAUAUGUUCAUGGCUUUGAAUUCACCUCUAGCUAAAAUGAAAUUAGUUCCACAUGUUUGCAAUUAAAUGAAACCAAUCUAAUUUAAAUAUUGAACUAAAACUAAGGAUAGAAAGAACCCAAAAACGCUCCAGCACUCUAAUGGCCUUGGAUGGCAGGUUACGGCACAAAGCUCUCUCUCCUUCCUUCCUUGCAAAGCUGCGGCACUAUGUAUAUUUUUUAUCUCUGAAUUUCUCUCUAAAAGCUCUCUCUGAAUUCUACGGUAAGGGUGU